This 84-nucleotide ribosomal RNA is filed under the name Brachytheciastrum collinum. RNAcentral's name for it is "partial 5.8S ribosomal RNA". It matches the Rfam family "5.8S ribosomal RNA", at positions 74 to 154 of the family's 154-position model. Rfam says of the family: 5.8S ribosomal RNA (5.8S rRNA) is a component of the large subunit of the eukaryotic ribosome. It is transcribed by RNA polymerase I as part of the 45S precursor that also contains 18S and 28S rRNA. Functionally, it is thought that 5.8S rRNA may be involved in ribosome translocation. Lineage: Eukaryota; Viridiplantae; Streptophyta; Bryopsida; Hypnales; Brachytheciaceae. The record is from RNAcentral. RNAcentral also lists the same sequence under 1 other name.
GCAGAAUUCCGCGAAUCAUCGAGUCUUUGAACGCAAGUUGCGCCCGAGGCUUGUCCAAGGGCAUUUCCGCUAGAGCGUCACCGC